Molecule: transfer RNA, 82 nt
Organism: Galdieria sulphuraria
Lineage: Eukaryota; Rhodophyta; Bangiophyceae; Galdieriales; Galdieriaceae
Rfam family: tRNA
About the family: Transfer RNA (tRNA) molecules are approximately 80 nucleotides in length. Their secondary structure includes four short double-helical elements and three loops (D, anti-codon, and T loops). Further hydrogen bonds mediate the characteristic L-shaped molecular structure. tRNAs have two regions of fundamental functional importance: the anti-codon, which is responsible for specific mRNA codon recognition, and the 3' end, to which the tRNAs corresponding amino acid is attached (by aminoacyl-tRNA synthetases). tRNAs cope with the degeneracy of the genetic code in two manners: having more than one tRNA (with a specific anti-codon) for a particular amino acid; and 'wobble' base-pairing, i.e. permitting non-standard base-pairing at the 3rd anti-codon position.
Source: Rfam
GUGGACGUGGCCGAGCGGUUAAGGCGACAGACUAGAAAUCUGUUUCGGUUUCCGAGCGCAGGUUCGAAUCCUGCCGUCCACG